Epinephelus fuscoguttatus (brown-marbled grouper) is the source of this 221-nucleotide long non-coding RNA. RefSeq lists it as uncharacterized. The transcript is spliced from 3 exons. The record is from RefSeq and is a predicted model, not a curated record. Lineage: Eukaryota; Metazoa; Chordata; Actinopteri; Perciformes; Serranidae.
ACAGAAUCUUGACUGCCUGGGAGGAUCCACAGCCAACAGUUUUAGGGACUAUUUCAACUGCAGAAAGUAGAUCGCAUGAAAAGGGAGCGAGAGGAAGAAGAAGACUGUUGUCUCCCCCAGUACGAAUGAAUUCACACAUUCCAAGGACGAACCAGGGAGGUAGGAGUGGUGGGUGUGUGUGUGUGUUGGUGUAUUCACGGUGCGGAGGAGUCUGGUGUGCA